GAGGACGCUAGUUCUCAUGGAGCCGCCCUUGAAAUACCACCCUGUUGUUAUUGAGGUUCUAACUUGGUCCAGUAAUCCUGGAUGAGGACAGUGUAUGAUGGGUAGUUUGACUGGGGCGGUCUCCUCCCAAAGAGUAACGGAGGAGCACAAAGGUACCCUCGGUACGGUCGGACAUCGUACCAAGAGUGUAAAGGCAAAAGGGUGCUUGACUGCGAGAGUGACGGCUCGAGCAGGAACGAAAGUUGGUCUUAGUGAUCCGGUGGUUCUGAAUGGAAGGGCCAUCGCUCAACGGAUAAAAGGUACUCCGGGGAUAACAGGCUGAUACCGCCCAAGAGUUCAUAUCGACGGCGGUGUUUGGCACCUCGAUGUCGGCUCAUCACAUCCUGGGGCUGAAGCAGGUCCCAAGGGUAUGGCUGUUCGCCAUUUAAAGUGGUACGCGAGCUGGGUUUAGAACGUCGUGAGACAGUUCGGUCCCUAUCUGCCGUGGGCGUAGGAAAAUUGAGAGGAGCUGCUCCUAGUACGAGAGGACCGGAGUGGACGAACCUCUGGUGCACCGGUUGUCACGCCAGUGGCAUGGCCGGGUAGCUAAGUUCGGACGGGAUAACCGCUGAAAGCAUCUAAGCGGGAAGCCUCCCUCAAGAUGAGUUUUCCCAUGAAGCCCGUUGAAGACUACGACGUUGAUAGGCAAGGUGUGGAAGCGCAGUAAUGCGUGAAGCUAACUUGUACUAAUUGGCUGAUUGUCUUGACCAUAUAAUCUGAG
This 760-nucleotide ribosomal RNA is filed under the name Legionella pneumophila. Its description in RNAcentral is "partial 23S ribosomal RNA". It matches the Rfam family "Bacterial large subunit ribosomal RNA", at positions 2164 to 2925 of the family's 2925-position model. Lineage: Bacteria; Pseudomonadati; Pseudomonadota; Gammaproteobacteria; Legionellales; Legionellaceae. The record is from RNAcentral.